RNAcentral lists this ribosomal RNA (498 nucleotides) under uncultured bacterium. Its description in RNAcentral is "partial 16S ribosomal RNA". It matches the Rfam family "Bacterial small subunit ribosomal RNA", at positions 30 to 523 of the family's 1533-position model. The record is from RNAcentral.
AUUGAACGCUGGCGGCAUGCCUUACACAUGCAAGUCGAACGGUAACAGGUCUUCGGAUGCUGACGAGUGGCGAACGGGUGAGUAAUACAUCGGAACGCGCCCGAUCGUGGGGGAUAACGAAGCGAAAGCUUUGCUAAUACCGCAUAAGAUCUACGGAUGAAAGCAGGGGACCGCAAGGCCUUGCGCGAACGGGGCGGCCGAUGGCAGAUUAGGUAGUUGGUGGGAUAAAAGCUUACCAAGCCGACGAUCUGUAGCUGGUCUGAGAGGACGACCAGCCACACUGGGACUGAGACACGGCCCAGACUCCUACGGGAGGCAGCAGUGGGGAAUUUUGGACAAUGGGCGAAAGCCUGAUCCAGCCAUGCCGCGUGCAGGAUGAAGGCCUUCGGGUUGUAAACUGCUUUUGUACGGAGCGAAACGGUCCUCUCUAAUACAGGGGGCUAAUGACGGUACCGUAAGAAUAAGCACCGGCUAACUACGUGCCAGCAGCCGCAGUAA